RNAcentral lists this ribosomal RNA (446 nucleotides) under uncultured bacterium. RNAcentral describes it as "bacterial SSU rRNA". It matches the Rfam family "Bacterial small subunit ribosomal RNA", at positions 354 to 796 of the family's 1533-position model. The record is from RNAcentral.
GUGGGGAAUAUUGCGCAAUGGGCGAAAGCCUGACGCAGCCACGCCGCGUGAGCGAUGAAGGCCUUCGGGUCGUAAAGCUCUGUGGGGAGAGACGAAGAAAGCCUGUGAAGAGCAGGCCUUGACGGUAUCUCCUUAGCAAGCACCGGCUAACUCCGUGCCAGCAGCCGCGGUAAUACGGAGGGUGCAAACGUUGCUCGGAAUCAUUGGGCGUAAAGCGCACGUAGGCGGCGAAGCAAGUUGGGUGUGAAAGCCCUGGGCUCAACCCAGGAAGUGCAUUCAAAACUGCUUCGCUUGAAUCUCGGAGGGGGUCAGAGAAUUCCCGGUGUAGAGGUGAAAUUCGUAGAUAUCGGGAGGAAUACCAGUGGCGAAGGCGCUGACCUGGACGAAGAUUGACGCUGAGGUGCGAAAGCGCGGGGAGCAAACAGGAUUAGAAACCCUUGUAGUCC